GCACGUAUUGCUUCAUUGAACGGUUGCUCAGUCCUGCGAUGGUGGGGCCGCCACUGAUAGUGCUUAUCAUGUUUAUCUGCCGAUUUGCAUUUGGCACCAGUGCCGGUGGCUGCCGGGCGAUAUACUGGUCCAGCUUCCCCUCCCGGAUCAACCGUUCGACAAUCUUCCUCAGGCUUAUACAGUCUUCCGUAUUAUGGCUGUUGUGCUGAUGGUAUCGGCAAUAUUUACCGG
RNAcentral lists this long non-coding RNA (231 nucleotides) under Prunus persica (peach). RNAcentral describes it as "long non-coding RNA (PPER_LNC003459)". Lineage: Eukaryota; Viridiplantae; Streptophyta; Magnoliopsida; Rosales; Rosaceae. The record is from RNAcentral.